GACGAGCCACACGAACGUUAUUCGGAAUUACUGGGCUUAAAGGGUGCGUAGGCUGUGCGGCAAGUUGGGCGUGAAAUCCCCCGGCUCAACCGGGGAAUUGCGCCCAAAACUACCGUGCUGGAGAAAGACAGAGGUGAGCGGAACUUCGGGUGGAGCGGUGAAAUGCGUUGAUAUCCGAAGGAACACCGGUGGCGAAAGCGGCUCACUGGGUCUUUUCUGACGCUGAUGCACGAAAGCUAGGGGAGCAAACGGG
RNAcentral lists this ribosomal RNA (253 nucleotides) under uncultured bacterium. RNAcentral describes it as "partial 16S ribosomal RNA". It matches the Rfam family "Bacterial small subunit ribosomal RNA", at positions 524 to 776 of the family's 1533-position model. The record is from RNAcentral.